Molecule: ribosomal RNA, 428 nt
Filed under: uncultured bacterium
Lineage: Bacteria
Description: bacterial SSU rRNA
Rfam family: Bacterial small subunit ribosomal RNA
Source: RNAcentral
UAGGGAAUCUUCCGCAAUGGACGAAAGUCUGACGGAGCAAUGCCGCGUGAGUGAAGAAGGUUUUCGGAUCGUAAAACUCUGUUGUUGGAGAAGAACAAGGAUGAGAGUAACUGCUCAUCCCCUGACGGUAUCUAACCAGAAAGCCACGGCUAACUACGUGCCAGCAGCCGCGGUAAUACGUAGGUGGCAAGCGUUGUCCGGAUUUAUUGGGCGUAAAGCGAGCGCAGGCGGUUCUUUAAGUCUGAUGUGAAAGCCCCCGGCUCAACCGGGGAGGGUCAUUGGAAACUGGAGAACUUGAGUGCAGAAGAGGAGAGUGGAAUUCCAUGUGUAGCGGUGAAAUGCGUAGGUAUAUGGAGGAACACCAGUGGCGAAGGCGACUCUCUGGUCUGUAACUGACGCUGAGGCUCGAAAGCGUGGGGAGCAAACAG